This 301-nucleotide ribosomal RNA is filed under the name uncultured bacterium. Its description in RNAcentral is "partial 16S ribosomal RNA". It matches the Rfam family "Bacterial small subunit ribosomal RNA", at positions 509 to 807 of the family's 1533-position model. The record is from RNAcentral.
CAGCCGCCGCGGGAAAACAGAGGGUGCAAGCGUUAAUCGGAAUUACUGUGCGUAAAGCGCGCGUAGGUGGUUUGUUAAGUUGGAUGUGAAAUCCCCGGGCUCAACCUGGGAACUGCAUCCAAAACUGGCAAGCUAGAGUAUGGUAGAGGGUGGUGGAAUUUCCUGUGUAGCGGUGAAAUGCGUAGAUAUAGGAAGGAACACCAGUGGCGAAGGCGACCACCUGGACUGAUACUGACACUGAGGUGCGAAAGCGUGGGGAGCAAACAGGAUUAGAUACCCCCGUAGUCCCUGUCUCUUAUAC